RNAcentral lists this ribosomal RNA (253 nucleotides) under uncultured bacterium. Its description in RNAcentral is "partial 16S ribosomal RNA". It matches the Rfam family "Bacterial small subunit ribosomal RNA", at positions 524 to 776 of the family's 1533-position model. The record is from RNAcentral.
UACGUAGGGUGCAAGCGUUGUCCGGAAUUAUUGGGCGUAAAGGGCGCGUAGGCGGCCUUCUAAGUCGAACGUGAAAUCCCCGGGCUCAACCCGGGAACUGCGUCCGAUACUGGAAGGCUUGAAUCCGGAAGAGGCAAGUGGAAUUCCCGGUGUAGCGGUGAAAUGCGCAGAUAUCGGGAGGAACACCAAUGGCGAAGGCAGCUUGCUGGGACGGUACUGACGCUGAGGCGCGAAAGCGUGGGGAGCAAACAGG